GUGCUUGCUUCAGCAGCACAUAUACUAAAAUUGAAUGAUACAGAGAAGAUUAGUAUGGCCCCUGCACAAGGAUGACACACAAAUUCAUGAAAUGUUCCAUAUUUUU
RNAcentral lists this small nuclear RNA (106 nucleotides) under Canis lupus familiaris (dog). The record is from RNAcentral. Lineage: Eukaryota; Metazoa; Chordata; Mammalia; Carnivora; Canidae.